AAUAUUGCGCAAUGGACGGAAGUCUGACGCAGCGACGCCGCGUGGGCGAUGAAGGUCUUCGGACCGUAAAGCCCUGUCCUUGGGGAAGAAGGGCUUCGGCCUUGACGGUACCCAAGAAGAAAGCCCCGGCUAACUACGUCCCAGCAGCCGCGGUAAUACGUAGGGGGCGAGCGUUGUCCGGAAUUAUUGGGCGUAAAGGGUGCGUAGGCGGUCUUCUAAGUCUGAUGUGAAAGCCCCCGGCUUAACCGGGGAGGGUCAUUGGAAACUGGAAGACUUGAGUGCAGAAGAGGAGAGCGGAAUUCCACGUGUAGCGGUGAAAUGCGUAGAGAUGUGGAGGAACACCAGUGGCGAAGGCGGCUCUCUGGUCUGUAACUGACGCUGAGGCACGAAAGCGUGGGGAGCAAACA
Molecule: ribosomal RNA, 407 nt
Filed under: uncultured bacterium
Lineage: Bacteria
Description: partial 16S ribosomal RNA
Rfam family: Bacterial small subunit ribosomal RNA
Source: RNAcentral